GAACGCUGGCGGCGUGCUUAACACAUGCAAGUCGAACGAUGAAGCCCUUCGGGGUGGAUUAGUGGCGAACGGGUGAGUAACACGUGGGCAAUCUGCCCUUCACUCUGGGACAAGCCCUGGAAACGGGGUCUAAUACCGGAUAACACUCUGUCCCGCAUGGGACGGGGUUAAAAGCUCCGGCGGUGAAGGAUGAGCCCGCGGCCUAUCAGCUUGUUGGUGGGGUAAUGGCCUACCAAGGCGACGACGGGUAGCCGGCCUGAGAGGGCGACCGGCCACACUGGGACUGAGACACGGCCCAGACUCCUACGGGAGGCAGCAGUGGGGAAUAUUGCACAAUGGGCGAAAGCCUGAUGCAGCGACGCCGCGUGAGGGAUGACGGCCUUCGGGUUGUAAACCUCUUUCAGCAGGGAAGAAGCGAAAGUGACGGUACCUGCAGAAGAAGCGCCGGCUAACUACGUGCCAGCAGCCGCGGUAAUACGUAGGGCGCAAGCGUUGUCCGGAAUUAUUGGGCGUAAAGAGCUCGUAGGCGGCUUGUCACGUCGGAUGUGAAAGCCCGGGGCUUAACCCCGGGUCUGCAUUCGAUACGGGCUAGCUAGAGUG
This 600-nucleotide ribosomal RNA is filed under the name Streptomyces sp. YIM C732. RNAcentral describes it as "bacterial SSU rRNA". It matches the Rfam family "Bacterial small subunit ribosomal RNA", at positions 31 to 648 of the family's 1533-position model. Lineage: Bacteria; Bacillati; Actinomycetota; Actinomycetes; Kitasatosporales; Streptomycetaceae. The record is from RNAcentral.